This is a long non-coding RNA of Perca flavescens (yellow perch), 507 nucleotides long. RefSeq lists it as uncharacterized. The transcript has 3 exons. The record is from RefSeq and is a predicted model, not a curated record. Lineage: Eukaryota; Metazoa; Chordata; Actinopteri; Perciformes; Percidae.
CCAGACACACACACGGGCUACAAACAGCAGAGCACAUUUAAACACCCAGAAGUGAUGUUCAGGUGAACUAAAAGGAAACCUAUGACGCAAUCAAGAGUACCAUGUGAGCUGUGUCUGACCUCAUCUGCUGCAGCCUGUCUGCGUCUUUCUCCAGGGCGUCUAUCAAGAGGAAAGAGUCCUCCGCCGGCUCGUAGACAUCUCGGAAGUCUCCUCUUCCUGCGUGGGAGUAAACUGGUGUGGGGUAACUUGCAGACAUGUUCUCUUCAGUUACCAGACUCGCUGUCCACCCGCACGUGCUCCUGGCUCACCAUUUAAAGAAGAGGAGCCUUGUAGAGACCAGCUGAAGGAACAUCUUCUCUGAGCUGAAGCUCUGAGAUGAGUGCAGAGUUUCCGGACCACAACGGAGAAGUUCCUUCACUCCAUUCAUGCCGCCUUCUCUCCGUACUCACUGUAUACUCAUAGUAUUGUAUGUCAUGAAAUAAUUUAAUAAAAAGUAAGUAAUAGUAA